Long non-coding RNA from Rosa rugosa (rugosa rose), 5282 nucleotides. RefSeq lists it as uncharacterized. The record is from RefSeq and is a predicted model, not a curated record. Lineage: Eukaryota; Viridiplantae; Streptophyta; Magnoliopsida; Rosales; Rosaceae. The transcript has 2 exons.
UAGGAGCAUUUUAAUGUGGUAUUUUAAUAGUUAAUUCCUCACAUUUUGCUUAGUUAAUUCCUUAACGAAUCGAUUUUUAACUCAAUUUCUAUUUUCUUAGGUACAUUGGAGUAAAUGAUGGUGAAAUGAGCAUUAGGUCCACACUUACCUAUAAAUGAUGGAGAAAAAAUGGAAAUGUACUAAAAGGUCAAUUUUACACAUUUUCCUACUCCGGCUAGGAGAAACCAAGCCAAGCAAGGAAGAAGGAGCGGCCGCCUGACCAAAUGAACUCCAAAUGAGCUGAAACUUUCCAGAUCCAUUCUAGAUAUCCUAAGGAUCGUUUCUUAUGAAGAGUGCCAGAGCUAGAAUUGAGCGGAAGGCCUUCAAACAGUUAGCCCAAUUUCCUGCAGAAGCAAAACUGGAAAACUGGACCCGUAAGGAGUCCAGCAGAGAUUCUGGCCCAAAGGCAUGGAAAUAAAUUCUGAAAUUUUACCAAAAUGAUCUACACUCAUGGUAGAUCAUUUCAUAUGAAGAAGUCAAGAGCCAAAAAUGAAUUCCUGUUGGAGAAAUAAUUGAAGGAAUAAAGGGGCAGAAAUUGACCUAAAACCAGCUCAAUAUUCACAUGUUCAUGUUUCCUACCCACAUGAAGAAAGCUAGAUGCUUUUCUCUUUUUCCUUGGAUAUAUUUUUCUGCUCCAAUAGAUCAUCAUCACUUCCAUACUUCUGCACAUUCAUGCCUUGCUUUCAUUUCAUCAUUACUCCAUCUUUUCCAUAUUUUACAAACCACUUUCAUUAUUUUUCUUCCAUUUAUCAUUUCACUCUUCUUUUUCUUCCCUAUAUAAACACCUUCUCCUCUCACUCUAAACACAUUCCUUCAUCCAUUUCAUCUUCUUUGUCUCUCCAUUUCCAUUCCAUUUUUCUCUUCAUUCUCUAGUUGCAAAAUUCUGCGUUUUCAAGUAAGAAGAAGAAGAAGAAGAAGGAGCCGGGAAUGUCAUAUCCUCCAUCGUCCACCUUGAAGGCUUGCUUCCAAGAUUCAAGAUUUCAACGUUUCAAGCACUCCAUCUCCAUCUCCAACUCACGGUGUGUACCCUCAAUCCCCGGAAUAGAACGAUCCCUAUUUGCUUAUACUACUAACGAUGUUUUCAGGGUUAAAUUAUGCGCUUGCUUUGAGCGUAUCAAUUUUUGGCGCCGUUGCCGGGGAAUUGAAAAAUCACUUGUUUUUGUUUUUAAUUAUUGUAUAUAAACUGUUUGAUACUUAGUUUAAAUUAACUAGGUUGUUUUUUUUUGUUGAAUACGAGUUUAAUUGUGAGUUGUAAAUUAAAGAAGGAAUAGGUGAAGUCGUGUUUAUUAAUAUUGGCCUAAACCCCUUAUUGGUACCUAGUUCAGGUCCCUUAAGGUUGAGGGCGGCCUUUAUUAACAUUCAUUGAACUGUCUAACACACUUAGAACCUUUUACAUCCUAGUAAGAAUAUCCUAUGUGAGAUGGUGUCUAGGAAGGGGAUAACGUUCAUGACGGGUUUUUGAAUCCAGAAGUGCUUAUAAAUGGGCUUAGCUCAUGCCAAAAUGGAUUUUUCCUCUCGUGUUCACCCUCCCCUACCUGGCCAUUUCAGUAAGGUUGCCCAACGGAUGUAGGAGGGACUUUGUGUCUAGACGACUAUACUUGGGCCGCACGUCCACUUGAUUUACCGCUUGGAAUUAGAUUUGAUAUCAAUAAUGUUUAUAACAAAAGAAAUACUUGUGCAUACUCUUUACGUGUAAAUUAUUUUGUUGUUUCACACUUUAUACUUGUAAAAAUACUUUUUACGUUUUAUACUCACUUGUGUACUUAACUUGUGUCUUAUGUACAAAAUACUUGUUAAUUAUACUUGUAGUUUGUAAUUCAUAGUUACUUGUUUAUUUUUUUUGUAUUUCUUUGUUAAUAUUAAGUUACUAACUUUAUUUAAUGUAGGUACCGUCUGGCUGCAAGACGUUAAACUCAAGCGCUGCUUGGGAGGCAACCCAAUUCAGAAGUAGCUGCUUGGGAGGCAACCCAAUUCAGAAUAUAAUCAGAUUUGCUUUCUCUUUCCCUAUUUCUUUUUAUUUUUUAAUUUUUUCUCUUUUGUUUUUAUUUUAGGAUUUAUUUUCAUAAAUGUCUUCUAUCUAUGCUUAUUUGUUUCAUUGCAUGCUUAUGAUUGAUUACAUUGAGGACAAUGCAAUAUUUAAGUGUGGGGGAAGGGAUUUAUAUUUGAGUCUUUUAUUUUGAGUCAUAUAUAUUGGAAAAUACAAAUCGAAAAAUGUCAAAAAUUAAAAAAAUUUCGUUGAUUUUAUUUAUUGAGUCUUAGUCCUUUGUUUUUAUUUUUGAGUCAUAGGAUGCCCUUUUAACUGUCUAGGAUGAGCUUAUAUCUCUGAAAUUAAGGCUAAAAGAGGAUUACAAGAUUGGGAUAAUAUUUGAUGAUAUUCUUUGGUUAAUUAUGAUUUAUGAAAAGCAUAUGAAUGUGUAGUAGAUAUGGUGCAUGCGUAACUUUGGUACAGAAUAUGAACAUGUGGAUGAUAAGUUAUGAUUCAUAAUAACCCUUGUGAGAAUUUGAGCCAUGUGCCCUUUCUUUGUUGAGUGAUUAAUGGAAAAAAAAAAAAAAUGAAUUAUACUCUUAUUUUCUUGGCGAUGAUUCUGUUGAUCUCAUUAUUCUUUCAUCUUGAUUGAUUACAUGCCAUAGAUUAAGUUUAAUGGACUAGAGAAUGCUAGAAUUCGCUCUUGUGCUUGUUGAGACGUUUUGUCAAUACAUGGCCCUGAUUCUGGAAAGGAUAGAGGCACCUAGGAACUACCACCAUUGCCAAAUAAGCCUGUGUCCCUAUUUGUGCCCGUCGUGGGACCCCCUUAGAUAAACCCCUUUGAGCCUACAUUAAGCCUUUUCUUUCAUCACCCUAAAAAUCCUUAACCCCUGAACCUUAGUAUAGUUAUAAUCCUACCCUUUGUUCUAAAAACUUAGUGGAGCUAUCUUUUGAGACUUACUACAUGAUGGUGACAAGGAUUGAGAAGAGGUGAAAAUUCAAGUGUGGGGGUAGACUUGUCCAUGAAAAAAAAAAAAAAAUAUGUAUGUAUUGCCGUGAAAAAAAAAAAAAAAAAAGAAUGUUUAUGGAUUUUAGUCCCCCAUACUUGGUGAGUUUGGAGAUUGUUUUGAAUUGAAGGCCCACUAUCGAAAAAUUUGGUCUUUGUCCAAUUCACUAGAAUCAAAGGGAGUUUAGAAUGAAGAUGAAGACAUUAAGCCCUUUUAUAAAGCCUCAUGGGUAUGACGUUAUGCCUUGGUGGAUUUCUAGAAGUCUCUCUACAUCAACAUGAGCUCUGCUAGGUUUUUAGGAUACUUUGUUAAAAAUUCCUUACCCUUUUAUUUCUUAAAACCUUGAGCCUUAGCCCCAUUACAACCUUUGAGAAGACCUUCUUGAUCCUUAAGAUGGGACAGCCUUUGAUGUGGAGAUGAGUUACAAGAGUUGAACAUAUGGCUUGGGUCCAUUCGUGCAAGUAGUUGAUAUCUUUCAUGAGAUCUUUUAAAAAAAAAUUAUAUUCACAAAGUGCUUUUUGUUUCUUAUAUAUGUGAGCUAUUUGAUUGCCUCAAAAUAUUUUCUCUCACAUAUAAUUGAGUGAUUAUAAGCUUUUAAGCAUGAGCCUUGAAUCUGAGAGAAGAAAGAGUGAUAUAUCCAUGUGAGGUUUGAAUCAUGACUUGUUUGAAAUAUGUUGAGCUCCACUCACCACCAUUGUUUACUCCCAAGUCUUACAUGCUUAUAUGUGGAUUAUAUUUUGUAAUUAGCUCUUGAAUAUCUUGAUGAUGUGAUUCUUGGUUAAGUGCUAAUCUUGGUGACUUGAAAGUAUGAGAUUUCUGAGACAAUAUGUUAAAGGGCAAUAGAGGUCUUUGUGAUGUCAACAUCAUGGUCUUUGUCUUUGAAUUUACUCUUUUAUGUGUGACGUUUUUUUUUCUUUGUGUUUUGCUUUGUGUUUUACGUUUUUGGUUUCUUUGAGUCUUUGUGUUUUUGUUUCCAUACUUAGUCAUUUUUUUCGUUGGUUUCUUUGUUUUGUGUCAUAGUCUUUUUGGUUUGUUAGUUUUUGAUUUUGCUAAGGGACUAACAAAAGCUAAGUGUGGGGGAAUUUGAUAGGAGCAUUUUAAUGUGGUAUUUUAAUAGUUAAUUCCUCACAUUUUGCUUAGUUAAUUCCUUAACGAAUCGAUUUUUAACUCAAUUUCUAUUUUCUUAGGUACAUUGGAGUAAAUGAUGGUGAAAUGAGCAUUAGGUCCACACUUACCUAUAAAUGAUGGAGAAAAAAUGGAAAUGUACUAAAAGGUCAAUUUUACACAUUUUCCUACUCCGGCUAGGAGAAACCAAGCCAAGCAAGGAAGAAGGAGCGGCCGCCUGACCAAAUGAACUCCAAAUAAGCUGAAACUUUCCAGAUCCAUUCUAGAUAUCCUAAGGAUCGUUUCUUAUGAAGAGUGCCAGAGCUAGAAUUGAGCGGAAGGCCUUCAAACAGUUAGCCCAAUUUCCUGCAGAAGCAAAACUGGAAAACUGGACCCGUAAGGAGUCCAGCAGAGAUUCUGGCCCAAAGGCAUGGAAAUAAAUUCUGAAAUUUUACCAAAAUGAUCUACACUCAUGGUAGAUCAUUUCAUAUGAAGAAGUCAAGAGCCAAAAAUGAAUUCCUGUUGGAGAAAUAAUUGAAGGAAUAAAGGGGCAGAAAUUGACCUAAAACCAGCUCAAUAUUCACAUGUUCAUGUUUCCUACCCACAUGAAGAAAGCUAGAUGCUUUUCUCUUUUUCCUUGGAUAUAUUUUUCUGCUCCAAUAGAUCAUCAUCACUUCCAUACUUCUGCACAUUCAUGCCUUGCUUUCAUUUCAUCAUUACUCCAUCUUUUCCAUAUUUUACAAACCACUUUCAUUAUUUUUCUUCCAUUUAUCAUUUCACUCUUCUUUUUCUUCCCUAUAUAAACACCUUCUCCUCUCACUCUAAACACAUUCCUUCAUCCAUUUCAUCUUCUUUGUCUCUCCAUUUCCAUUCCAUUUUUCUCUUCAUUCUCUAGUUACAAAAUUCUGCGUUUUCAAGUAAGAAGAAGAAGAAGAAGAAGGAGCCGGGAAUGUCAUAUCCUCCAUCGUCCACCUUGAAGGCUUGCUUCCAAGAUUCAAGAUUUCAACGUUUCAAGCACUCCAUCUCCAUCUCCAACUCACGGUGUAAUUCAUUCUUUUUCCUUAUUUAAUUUCGUAGGAAUUUGUUUCUAGUUAACAAUAACAUUAAGGGCAAAGUUUAAGCCCAAUUUCUAUGUUUGAAUAAAAAUUGUGAUUUCUUUAUGUUGA